GGUAGUUGCAUCUUUUUAAUACCAUUUCAAGUUUUAUAUAUUAAUACUUUUCAAAUUAUACUGACAAUCUUAUAGAAUAAAAGUGAAAAUACAGUGCAAUUUACAUAAUAUGCUUUACUAUACUUAUACACCUCCUUGUUCGGAUCUAGAAAAAGCGAAUACGGUUACAUAUAUGACAACAAUAUAAUAGUAUAUGCAACAUUUCCUUUCGCUAUGCUACAACAAUAUAUAGCAUAUGCAACAUUUCCUUUCGCUAUACCAUGCAUAAACUACUUACAAAUAUUAUUUUUAAUAAAUACAUCAAAUUCAAGGCCGUCCAAAGCGGGGGGCGGGCUCGAGCCCCCCAAUAGUUUUCAUUUGUAUAAGCAAAACAAGCAAAAGAACUAUAAAAGUGCGAAAGCAAUUCAAAUUUAUUCUUGAGCCCCCAAUAUUGAUUUACUUUCAGAGGCCGCGGAAGCAUUUUGAAAGUGGAGGGGCAUCGGCCAAAAGGGGAACUUUUGUAUAUGACCAAAAUUAAACGAUUUUAUGUCGUUCACGAGCCGAGCGGAAAUUUUUGAAAAUAUGAAGUCGCUAUAACGUCGGAAAUGGCCUACAUAGUCUUUACUACUGCAAAAAGGCACUGGGGCCACUUUAGCCAGAAAAAAGGCACUUCCUCACUUUUAAAAAAUGGGGGGUGGCACAUGCCCCCAUUGCCCCCCCCCCCGCUUCCGCGGCCCCUGAAAACAACGGCCUUGAAUUUUAAUUUUUAAAUGAACAAUAGGCCUAUAGCCCUUGCCACUUUAUGCAUAGAGACACCGGAUGAUUAUACGUUUAUUCUUGCAUAACAAAACUACUCUCUGUAUAAUUGUCCAAUAUUUUGCUGCUGAAAUUUUUCGAUUCAUAUCUUUGGUGUUGUAAUCAGUCCACGAGGCAAUCAUUUAUUAAGAUGUUCACAAUUCAGAGAAUUCAAGAGUAAUACUCUGACAGCAAAAAAUUUGGGUAAACUCCUUUAUAAUUUUAAGAAAUUUACGAUAUUCCGAAAAGUUACCCUGUACAAAUUCAAAAUACACGAAAACCAUGAACAACUUAAAAAUCAUGCCAGUCGUAAAAUUCUAACUGAUAUUUCGAUAUUAUAUCCUGGUUGCAGGGCCAAAAUACUGCCUAUAGUGCUACUUGUCUCGUGUGUAUGUCUCUGUUUUCUCUUUUGCAAGACUAAAGAAGCCUGUAAAAUAGUUAGGUCUGACAAUAAACCUGAAUUUUAUGUCUUCUUUUAAUUUUCUUAUAUUGAUGAUAUAUAUUCGCCUGCACGUAGAUAUAAAUACAUGCUGAAACAGCAUGAAUUUGAAAUUCUCCUCUAAACCACCAACAAUCAAACCCGCGUCUUGACAUUUGGUUAUUAUAUUAUUUUCACGUCCACACGUCUUCAACAUAUCUAUGUUCUUGACGUAACUUCCAGAUAUCUUUCUUGGCUUCCUCGUGUGAAAGACCUGAUAAAAACGAAUCCAUGCAGUUACAAGUAAUAUUUAAAUACAAACUUCUUCUGGGCCUGGGGUUUAUUGCAUGGAGAUUCUCUUAAACCACUGCAUUCCCAGCAUUGAACGCGGACUACAAGGAACUACGGAUGCAUGCAAGUGAGUAUAUAU
Non-coding RNA from Paramuricea clavata, 1622 nucleotides. NCBI's taxonomy places the organism in Eukaryota, Metazoa, Cnidaria, Anthozoa, Malacalcyonacea, Plexauridae. The record is from the annotation of a GenBank genome assembly.